RNAcentral lists this long non-coding RNA (216 nucleotides) under Prunus persica (peach). RNAcentral describes it as "long non-coding RNA (PPER_LNC008538)". The record is from RNAcentral. Lineage: Eukaryota; Viridiplantae; Streptophyta; Magnoliopsida; Rosales; Rosaceae.
AAAUUAUGAGCUUAUCAAAUUUAUAGAGGUCCAAUCGGUCCCUGUGGUUCGACACCCUUACUUGUACCAUUAUACUAACCAUAUAUUGGCACUUGGAAGGAACACAACAAGGACCCAAUCCGAUAUCGAUUGGUCCAUGAAAUCGGACAAUUCUAGUUCGUACGAAGUUCGUUCUGAAAUGGAGCGGUUGGUGUAUUGCAUAGUUUUAGCAAUUGG